CCUACGGGUGGCAGCAGUGAGGAAUAUUGGUCAAUGGACGAGAGUCUGAACCAGCCAAGUAGCGUGAAGGAUGACUGCCCUAUGGGUUGUAAACUUCUUUUAUAUGGGAAUAAAAUGUUCCCCGUGUGGGCUUUUGUAUGUACCCUAUGAAUAAGGAUCGGCUAACUCCGUGCCAGCAGCCGCGGUACUACGGAGGAUCCGAGCGUUAUCCGGCUUUAUUGGGUUUAAAGGGAGCGUAGGUGGAUUGUUAAGUCAGUUGUGAAAGUUUGCGGCUCAAACGUAAAAUUGCAGUUGAAACUGGCAGUCUUGAGUACAGUAGAGGUGGGCGGAAUUCGUGGUGGAGCGGUGAAAUGCUUAGAUAUCACGAAGAACUCCGAUUGCGAAGGCAGCUCACUGGACUGCAACUGACACUGAGGCUCGAAAGUGUGGGUAUCAAACAGGAUUAGAUACCCCAGUAGUC
This 460-nucleotide ribosomal RNA is filed under the name uncultured bacterium. RNAcentral describes it as "partial 16S ribosomal RNA". It matches the Rfam family "Bacterial small subunit ribosomal RNA", at positions 338 to 795 of the family's 1533-position model. The record is from RNAcentral.